UACGUAGGGUGCGAGCGUUAAUCGGAAUUACUGGGCGUAAAGCGUGCGCAGGCGGUGCUGUAAGACCGAUGUGAAAUCCCCGGGCUUAACCUGGGAACUGCAUUUGUGACUGCACGGCUAGAGUGCGGCAAAGGGGGAUGGAAUUCCGCGUGUAGCAGUGAAAUGCGUAGAUAUGCGGAGGAACACCGAUGGCGAAGGCAAUCCCCUGGGCCUGCACUGACGCUCAUGCACGAAAGCGUGGGGAGCAAACAGG
This 253-nucleotide ribosomal RNA is filed under the name uncultured bacterium. RNAcentral describes it as "partial 16S ribosomal RNA". It matches the Rfam family "Bacterial small subunit ribosomal RNA", at positions 524 to 776 of the family's 1533-position model. The record is from RNAcentral.